UGCACAGUUGUUCUGCGGCUAAACACCAC
RNAcentral lists this non-coding RNA (29 nucleotides) under Mus musculus (house mouse). The record is from RNAcentral. Lineage: Eukaryota; Metazoa; Chordata; Mammalia; Rodentia; Muridae.